GUCGGAUUAGCUAGUUGGUGGGGUAAAGGCCUACCAAGGCGACGAUCCGUAGCUGGUCUGAGAGGACGACCAGCCACACUGGGACUGAGACACGGCCCAGACUCCUACGGGAGGCAGCAGUGGGGAAUUCCGGACAAUGGGGGCAACCCUGAUCCAGCCAUGCCGCGUGCGGGAAGAAGGCCUUCGGGUUGUAAAACGCUUUUGUCAGGGGAGAAACGCGUCGGGCUAAUACCCCGGCGUAAUGACGGUACCUGAAGAAUAAGCACCGGCUAACUACGUGCCAGCAGCCGCGGUAAUACGUUGGGUGCAAGCGUUAAUCGGAAUUACUGGGCGUAAAGCGUGCUCAGGUGGUUGUGCAAGACAGAUGUGAUAUCCCCGGGCUGAACCUGGGAACUGCAUUUGUGACUGCACGGCUAGAGUACGGCAGAGGGGGAUGGAAUUCCGCGUGUAGCAGUGAAAUGCGUAGAUAUGCGGAGGAACACCAAUGGCGAAGGCAGUCCCCUGG
Molecule: ribosomal RNA, 505 nt
Filed under: uncultured beta proteobacterium
Lineage: Bacteria; Pseudomonadati; Pseudomonadota; Betaproteobacteria
Description: bacterial SSU rRNA
Rfam family: Bacterial small subunit ribosomal RNA
Source: RNAcentral